GACGCUGGCGUAUGCUUACACCUGCAGUUAAACGGCAGCACGGACUUCGGUCUGGUGGCGAGUGGCGAACGGGUGAGUAAUGCAUCGGAACGUGCCCAUCUGUGGGGGAUAGCUCGGCGAAAGCCGGAUUAAUACCGCAUACGAUCUAUGGAUGAAAGCGGGGGACCUUCGGGCCUCGCGCAGAUGGAGCGGCCGAUGUUAGAUUAGGUAGUUGGUGGGGUAAAGGCUCACCAAGCCGACGAUCUAUAGCUGGUCUGAGAGGACGAUCAGCCACACUGGGACUGAGACACGGCCCAGACUCCUACGGGAGGCAGCAGUGGGGAAUUUUGGACAAUGGGCGAAAGCCUGAUCCAGCAAUACCGCGUGCAGGAAGAAGGCCCUCGGGUUGUAAACUGCUUUUGUACGGAACGAAAAGGUCCUGGCUAAUAUCUGGGGCUGAUGACGGUACCGUAAGAAUAAGCACCGGCUAACUACGUGCCAGCAGCCGCGGUAAUACGUAGGGUGCAAGCGUUAAUCGGAAUUACUGGGCGUAAAGCGUGCGCAGGCGGCUGUGUAAGACAGGUGUGAAAUCCCCGAGCUCAACUUGGGAAUUGCACUUGUGACUG
RNAcentral lists this ribosomal RNA (605 nucleotides) under uncultured Comamonadaceae bacterium. Its description in RNAcentral is "bacterial SSU rRNA". It matches the Rfam family "Bacterial small subunit ribosomal RNA", at positions 32 to 635 of the family's 1533-position model. Lineage: Bacteria; Pseudomonadati; Pseudomonadota; Betaproteobacteria; Burkholderiales; Comamonadaceae. The record is from RNAcentral.